AUUGAACGCUGGCGGCAUGCCUUACACAUGCAAGUCGAACGGCAGCACGGGAGCAAUCCUGGUGGCGAGUGGCGAACGGGUGAGUAAUAUAUCGGAACGUGCCCAGUAGUGGGGGGAUAACUGCUCGAAAGAGCAGCUAAUACCGCAUACGACCUGAGGGUGAAAGGGGGGGGAUCGCAAGACCUCUCGCUAUUGGAGCGGCCGAUAUCAGAUUAGCUAGUUGGUGGGGUAAAGGCCUACCAAGGCAACGAUCUGUAGUUGGUCUGAGAGGACGACCAGCCACACUGGGACUGAGACACGGCCCAGACUCCUACGGGAGGCAGCAGUGGGGAAUUUUGGACAAUGGGCGCAAGCCUGAUCCAGCAAUGCCGCGUGCAGGAAGAAGGCCUCGGGUUGUAACUAGCUUUGUUCUAGGGAAGGAAAGUACCU
RNAcentral lists this ribosomal RNA (429 nucleotides) under uncultured bacterium. RNAcentral describes it as "bacterial SSU rRNA". It matches the Rfam family "Bacterial small subunit ribosomal RNA", at positions 30 to 457 of the family's 1533-position model. The record is from RNAcentral.